This 394-nucleotide ribosomal RNA is filed under the name Hebeloma laetitiae. RNAcentral describes it as "partial small subunit ribosomal RNA". Lineage: Eukaryota; Fungi; Basidiomycota; Agaricomycetes; Agaricales; Hymenogastraceae. The record is from RNAcentral.
GGAUAAAUUAAUAUAAAUAAAUUAAAUAUAUUUACACUAUUUUGUCUACUCCAUUUCUAUUUCUACUUUUGCCUUAUUACUAUCAAUCCUAUGUUAGAACACUUUUGCUUUUGUCUUUGCAAAGCAAAGGAAAAGUAGUAUGCUCCUCUCCCCUAAAGGAAAGACCCCUACGGGUCCUAGGGCUAAAUAUAACUGCAAAGGUGUAUAUUAAAUAUGGAAAAACAAAAAAAGUAAAAUAACUUAUUUAUAAAUAACUAUCACUCAAUCCAGUCUUAAAAUAAAAAAAAAAAGAAAAAACAAUAUAAUAAAAAUAAUAAUACAAAUUACUAUUUAUAUAAAUAAAUACUUUCUCCUUAUUUAUUAAAUAGAGGGAUUGGCUAUGCAAGAACUGGUA